UACAGAGGGUGCAAGCGUUGUCCGGAAUUAUUGGGCGUAAAGAGCUCGUAGGCGGCUUUGUCAGUCGGGUGUGAAACCUCCAGGCUCAACCUGGAGCCGCCACCCGAUACUGCAAUAGCUAGAGUCCGGUAGGGGAGCAUGGAACUCCUGGUGUAGCGGUGAAAUGCGCAGAUAUCAGGAGGAACACCGGUGGCGAAGGCGGUGGUCUGGGCCGGCACUGACGCUGAGGAGCGAAAGCGUGGGGAGCGAACAGG
Molecule: ribosomal RNA, 254 nt
Filed under: uncultured bacterium
Lineage: Bacteria
Description: partial 16S ribosomal RNA
Rfam family: Bacterial small subunit ribosomal RNA
Source: RNAcentral